GAUAAGAGAAUCCUAAGAAUAAAUGGCAAGUAUUUGAAAAAAUAUAAGCCUAUAUUGCAGGAAGUAAAAGUAGUAACAGAAUAAGUGCAAACAUAAUUGUGAUAAGAUGGGCCAAAUAAAAAUGGCAUUCAAAAGUUAUUACAAAGAAAGCCUCAAAGGGCUGAGAGUUGCUAAAUAAAUUCGACUACAAAUUAAAAUUGGCAAAAGUAUCCCUCAAAG
RNAcentral lists this long non-coding RNA (219 nucleotides) under Lathyrus oleraceus (garden pea). RNAcentral's name for it is "Pisum sativum (pea) long non-coding RNA (PSAT_LNC003810)". The record is from RNAcentral. Lineage: Eukaryota; Viridiplantae; Streptophyta; Magnoliopsida; Fabales; Fabaceae.